This 293-nucleotide long non-coding RNA is filed under the name Homo sapiens (human). RNAcentral describes it as "HSALNT0063852". Lineage: Eukaryota; Metazoa; Chordata; Mammalia; Primates; Hominidae. The record is from RNAcentral.
AAAGAAACACUCGGGAGAAAGUCCAGCAUGCAAUUGGAAAUUCAAGGCUGCUCAUCAGUGGAGUAGCAAGUCUGAAAACAUUUGUCAACUCUGCUUGAUCUUUCCACAUACCUCAUCGGCUGGCCCCUUGGGCCCAGAUUUCAACUGAUACUUCUGGCAGAAAAUGCUUGUACCAGUCUACGCCUAACAAUAAAGAACCCAGUUCCCAACUUCGACAUUUGGCUGGUGCUCCGGUGACGCCUGUCCCAAAAGAGAAAAGCCAAAGAAGUAAAUCUGAGUUACCUGAACAGAAA